RNAcentral lists this ribosomal RNA (597 nucleotides) under Escherichia coli. RNAcentral describes it as "bacterial SSU rRNA". It matches the Rfam family "Bacterial small subunit ribosomal RNA", at positions 1 to 587 of the family's 1533-position model. The record is from RNAcentral. Lineage: Bacteria; Pseudomonadati; Pseudomonadota; Gammaproteobacteria; Enterobacterales; Enterobacteriaceae.
AAAUUGAAGAGUUUGAUCAUGGCUCAGAUUGAACGCUGGCGGCAGGCCUAACACAUGCAAGUCGAACGGUAACAGGAAGCAGCUUGCUGCUUUGCUGACGAGUGGCGGACGGGUGAGUAAUGUCUGGGAAACUGCCUGAUGGAGGGGGAUAACUACUGGAAACGGUAGCUAAUACCGCAUAACGUCGCAAGACCAAAGAGGGGGACCUUCGGGCCUCUUGCCAUCGGAUGUGCCCAGAUGGGAUUAGCUUGUUGGUGGGGUAACGGCUCACCAAGGCGACGAUCCCUAGCUGGUCUGAGAGGAUGACCAGCCACACUGGAACUGAGACACGGUCCAGACUCCUACGGGAGGCAGCAGUGGGGAAUAUUGCACAAUGGGCGCAAGCCUGAUGCAGCCAUGCCGCGUGUAUGAAGAAGGCCUUCGGGUUGUAAAGUACUUUCAGCGGGGAGGAAGGGAGUAAAGUUAAUACCUUUGCUCAUUGACGUUACCCGCAGAAGAAGCACCGGCUAACUCCGUGCCAGCAGCCGCGGUAAUACGGAGGGUGCAAGCGUUAAUCGGAAUUACUGGGCGUAAAGCGCACGCAGGCGGUUUGUUAAG